RNAcentral lists this ribosomal RNA (456 nucleotides) under uncultured bacterium. RNAcentral's name for it is "partial 16S ribosomal RNA". It matches the Rfam family "Bacterial small subunit ribosomal RNA", at positions 29 to 507 of the family's 1533-position model. The record is from RNAcentral.
AACGAACGCUGGCGGCAGGCCUAACACAUGCCAGUCGAGCGACCUUUCGGGGGAGUGGCGGCUGGGUCGGUAACGCGUGGGGAUAUGCCCUUCUCUACGGAAUAGCCUCGGGAAACUGAGAGUAAUACCGUAUACGCCCUGUGGGGGCAAGAUUUAUCGUGGACGGAUUAGCUCGCGUUGGAUUAGCUAGUUGGUAGGGUAAUGGCUUUACAAGCCAACGAUGCGUAGCUGAUCUGAGAGGAUGAUCAGCCACACUGGGCCUGAGACACGGCCCCGACUCCUACGAGAGGCAGCAGUAGGGAAUCUGCCGCAAUGGGCGAAAGCCUGACGGAGCAACGGCGCGUGAGUGAUGAAGGUCUUCGGAUCGUAAAACUCGGUUAUGAGGGAAGAACAAAUGUGUAAGUAACUAUGCACGUCUUGACGGUACCUAAUCAGAAAGCCACGGCUAACUACGUG